This 321-nucleotide long non-coding RNA is filed under the name Homo sapiens (human). Its description in RNAcentral is "non-protein coding LINC02293:19". The record is from RNAcentral. Lineage: Eukaryota; Metazoa; Chordata; Mammalia; Primates; Hominidae.
CUUGAUUACUACCUUGGUGUCCUAAAACGGAUGUUGGCCUGCCAGGGAGCAGCCAAGGUGAAGUUUUCAACCAGGCCGACCAACUUCAGAGUCCACUGGCUUCAAAACAGUGCUUUACAUCCUCCUUCCAACAUUAUUCACAAGCCGAUCAAGACUGAGAGAGUCACAAGUGUGUGAAACCUGUAUUCUUUCUGACUUCAUUUUCCCUGGUCGAAAUUUUUGUAGAAUAGACAAAUCAAGAAUGAUGACUUCUUAAGAUGCAGUAUUCAAGUUCAGAAAUCUAUACUCAGAUGACCUUAUGUAGGUCAUCUGCUUCUGAGG